GCGGGUUAUCCAAACAAACCGUGGCUGUUGACCCCAUUGUCUAAUCCUGUUGGUAGAGCAGAAAAACGUUACCAAGAGACACACAUUGCAUCGAGGCAAAUAAUUGAACGUGCCUUCGGUGUACUUAAAAGCCGGUUUCGAUGUUUAGACACUUCCGGCGGUGCUCUUUUGUACUCACCGUCGAAGGUUUGCGGCAUGGUAAAUGCAUGUUGUAUUUUACACAACAUAUGUGUCGCAAACCGUUUGCCGGUGACUCUUCGUCGUAGUGCUUUCCGACGCGGGAACCGGUCUUCUGCUCUACCGGUGGGUAUGGGCGAAGGAGAGGAUUCCCGGCGGACAUUGAUCCAAAAUUAUUUUGCAGUUGCCUAGUUUUACAUCCUGUUGAUGUAUAUCCCCAGGCCAUGUUUGUACAGUUCGUUCCCCCCUGUUUUAUCCUGUUGGGUUACCGCAAAUAUUUGACCCUUUUAUCCAACUCUACCAUGGGCGACCUACUGGAGAUGUGGACCUGACCCUCCGCCAUGUAGCAGACAACCCCCUCAGGUCCUGCGGUGUAUCUUCCCAAGUGGCGUGGAUGUGAGGAGACACGACAUUUCACCUGAUGUUCCAUGGGCGACCUACUGGUGAUGUUGACCUGACCCUCCGCCAUGUAGCAGACAACCCCCCUCAGGUCCUGCGAUGUAUCUUCCCAAGUGGCGUGGAUGUGAAGAGACACGACAUUUCAACUGAUGUUCCAUGGCCGACCUACUGGUGAUGUGGACCUGACCCUCCGCCAUGUAGCAGACAACCCCCCCUCAGGUGAGAUGUAUUGCCCAAAACUCCCUUGUCCAAAAUCACCCCGACAUGUCCAAAGUGCAGCCCUCCGGCAUUUGCAAGACUGCACAUCCAAACAUUCCCUGAAACAGCAAUGCUAGUCAGGGA
This is a long non-coding RNA of Pseudophryne corroboree (corroboree frog), 918 nucleotides long. RefSeq lists it as uncharacterized. NCBI's taxonomy places the organism in Eukaryota, Metazoa, Chordata, Amphibia, Anura, Myobatrachidae. The record is from RefSeq and is a predicted model, not a curated record. The transcript is spliced from 4 exons.